RNAcentral lists this transfer RNA (35 nucleotides) under Pallavicinia sp. 'pseudolyellii'. RNAcentral describes it as "partial tRNA-Leu". Lineage: Eukaryota; Viridiplantae; Streptophyta; Jungermanniopsida; Pallaviciniales; Pallaviciniaceae. The record is from RNAcentral.
GGGGGUAUGGCGGAAUUGGUAGACGCUGNGGACUU